Molecule: unclassified non-coding RNA, 591 nt
Filed under: Zea mays
Lineage: Eukaryota; Viridiplantae; Streptophyta; Magnoliopsida; Poales; Poaceae
Description: misc RNA Zm00001eb056160
Source: RNAcentral
UUGUGGCCUCCGCACCGCCCCAACGUCGACACCUCCGUCCUCCCCCUCUACUCCCAGCGCACCACCGCCGCGUAUGCGCUAUCCCACCCGAUGGACGUGUUGCCGCCUCUGCAGCACGCCCUGUCGCUGCCGACCCCGCCCAGCCAUGCAUUUGGAGUUUACAAUGUGGAGACAUGGUUUAUCCACCGGACGGCGAGGUUGGUGCGCGGAUGGCGAGGGAGGACCUCCACUGGGCCUACUCCACACCUCUUCCUGUCUACCGAGGUCGAGCACAUGGAGGACCUGCUCCGCUGUCGGGCACUCCUGAGCCAGCGACUACAAAAUCCACUCUGCCGUGAUGGCAUGGGAGGCUGGCAAGUCGAUUCUUUGUAUAUAGUUAGUAUUGCCAAUCAUAAGAAACAAAUCUUAUUAUUGCACUCCAGCAAUAAAAGGGCCAGAUGCUAUUAUUGUUGGCUAUAUCAGACAGUUUGUCAUCAAGCCUUUGUUUGGAUUCCUUUUUGGCACUCUUAUGGAGUACUAAGCUACACUGAAGAAUUUGGGCUUAAGAGUGAGGUUUUGAAGGUGACUCUUGCAACUGACGUCGUGAACUGA